Molecule: unclassified non-coding RNA, 294 nt
Filed under: Hevea brasiliensis (rubber tree)
Lineage: Eukaryota; Viridiplantae; Streptophyta; Magnoliopsida; Malpighiales; Euphorbiaceae
Source: RNAcentral
ACUCAAGAAGGUUGAACCCAAUGCACACAGGAUCGAGGAGCAUCGUAGGAAGUAUGAAAGGCUGCACAAAGAGAGAGAGGAUAGAAAGAUUGAGCGUGAGAGACAACGUCGACGUGCUAAAGCACAGGCUGAGUAUGAGAAGGCAAAGAAGCAAGAGCAAUCAUCUUCCAGCAGAAAACCUGGUGGUAUGCCUGGUGGGUUUCCAGAUGGAAUGCCAGGAGGGAUGCCUGGUGGGUUUCCCGGUGGAAUGCCAGGAGGCAUGCCUGGUGGUUUUCCUGGUGGAAUGCCAGGAGG